CGUACGACGUAGUUUGACUCCUGGCUCAGAACGACGCUGGCGGCAGGCCUAACACAUGCAAGUCGAGCGAGAUCUUCGGAUCUAGCGGCGGACGGGUGAGUAACGCGUGGGAACGUACCUUUUGCUACGGAAUAGCCCCGGGAAACUGGGAGUAAUACCGUAUGUGCCCCCCGAUGUAAGAAUUGGGGGGGAAAGAUUUAUCGGCAAAGGAUCGGCCCGCGUUGGAUUAGGUAGUUGGUGGGGUAAUGGCCUACCAAGCCGACGAUCCAUAGCUGGUUUGAGAGGAUGAUCAGCCACACUGGGACUGAGACACGGCCCAGACUCCUACGGGAGGCAGCAGUGGGGAAUCUUAGACAAUGGGGGCAACCCUGAUCUAGCCAUGCCGCGUGAGUGAUGAAGGCCCUAGGGUUGUAAAGCUCUUUCAGCUGGGAAGAUAAUGACGGUACCAGCAGAAGAAGCCCCGGCUAACUCCGUG
RNAcentral lists this ribosomal RNA (475 nucleotides) under uncultured bacterium. RNAcentral describes it as "bacterial SSU rRNA". It matches the Rfam family "Bacterial small subunit ribosomal RNA", at positions 1 to 507 of the family's 1533-position model. The record is from RNAcentral.